RNAcentral lists this small RNA (86 nucleotides) under Lachnoclostridium sp. An14. Its description in RNAcentral is "COG2827 RNA". It matches the Rfam family "COG2827 RNA". From Rfam's summary of the family: Clostridiales. Nearby to self-splicing intron genes The record is from Rfam by way of RNAcentral. Lineage: Bacteria; Bacillati; Bacillota; Clostridia; Lachnospirales; Lachnospiraceae.
GCCGGUGCUUUAUAUAGAUCGGGACGUCCCAUUUGCGGGGUGGACCGGGCGGCUGCGGCCAGCAAGAGACCGCUGCCGUUUACAUA